This 411-nucleotide ribosomal RNA is filed under the name uncultured eukaryote. RNAcentral describes it as "bacterial SSU rRNA". It matches the Rfam family "Eukaryotic small subunit ribosomal RNA", at positions 592 to 1018 of the family's 1831-position model. The record is from RNAcentral.
CAAUAGCGUAUAUUAAAGUUGUUGCAGUUAAAAGCUCGUAGUUGGAUUUCUGGCAGUGUGACUCCGGCCGGCGUGAUGCCGGCUCGAGCGCGCUACCAUCCUUCUGUCAACCUUCGCGGGUUUUACCGCCCGCCCUGGGGCUCAGAUAUUUUACCUUGAGAAAAUUAGAGUGUUUCAGGCAGGCUAGGCCGGAAUACAUUAGCAUGGAAUAAUGGAAUAGGACUACGGUCUCUUUGUUGGUUUGAGGGACUGCAGUAAUGAUUAAUAGGGAUAGUUGGGGGCAUUAGUAUUUAAUUGUCAGAGGUGGAAUUCUCGGAUUUGUUAAAGACUAACUUAUGCGAAAGCAUUUGCCAAGGAUGUUUUCAUUAAUCAAGAACGAAAGUUAGGGGAUCAAAGACGAUCAGAUACCAU